This 290-nucleotide long non-coding RNA is filed under the name Elaeis guineensis (African oil palm). RNAcentral describes it as "long non-coding RNA (EGUI_LNC012011)". The record is from RNAcentral. Lineage: Eukaryota; Viridiplantae; Streptophyta; Magnoliopsida; Arecales; Arecaceae.
AUAGGAGAACUAAAGAAAAAUGCUAUCAAAAUUUUUUUCAACCCCUGUUAUAUAUUUUUUGAUUACUGUAAUGGACCUAUAGAAUUAAUAUAUUUUUUGAAUGGGAUAGGAUCUAUCUUUACCUAUUAGUUGAUGAUAGGCUGCAUUUAUUAUGUAAAUCAUUUUGAAUGAUAAAAUAAUAUUUAGCAAUUGCCUUGUAUUUUUGUAUAUGCAGAAUUCUUAGAUAAUCUAUUAUGAACCCUAGUUGGAUAGACCAUCGAGUAGUCAAUGGAGAGAUUUUUGCUGAAUAC